Cryptotermes secundus is the source of this 2485-nucleotide long non-coding RNA. RefSeq lists it as uncharacterized. The transcript has 3 exons. NCBI's taxonomy places the organism in Eukaryota, Metazoa, Arthropoda, Insecta, Blattodea, Kalotermitidae. The record is from RefSeq and is a predicted model, not a curated record.
ACCAUAUGUUAAGGGUAUCUCCAAGAAAUUCAGACACACUGGAAACCGUUUCAAUGUUGGGACCACUUUCAAAACUAAACAUACACUCUCUGGGACAAUGAUGAAAACUGGAUCGGUUGGAGAUGCCCAGUAGACGAAGUAGUAUGUGUACAAUAUCCCAUGUGACUGUGGCAGAUGUUAAAUUGGCAAAAGAAGCAGACUUCUAGAAGUUUGCAUUAUGGAACACAAAUAUACCUGAGCCAAGGUCUCUUUCAAAAAUCAAAAUUAACCUAACAUGCAUACAAAGAAGGCCACAAACUAGGUUGGAAAGAAGCAAAGGUCUUGCAGAUUGAACCACAGACCACAUACAGGAAAUGCAACGAAUCCACCCACAUGUCUCUGCUAGAUCAUUCGAUCAAUCAACCCAGCUCGGAUAUCUCUCCCAUCUGGAGUGCCAUUAUCGCAGCAGAAGUCAGUAACUACAACUCCGUCCAGUGUAGAUUAUGUGUGAAAAUUAUGUUUUUAUGUUGCUAUCAUACAGAGAAUUUGCCUCUUUAGUGAUGACUUCUAUUCUGAUAGUACUGUGACUUUAACAACAAUAAUUGUGAAAUAAUGUAUGGACAUAUGUGCUAGGCCUCAUGAGUGAGGAAAUUUUUUAAUGUUUUUAAUGAUUGUCUUAACUCUCACAGAAGGUAUAUCCUGUGCUUGGUUUAUAUACCCUGUCUUCUGUUGGUGCUGGUGUCUGGAGAUAGAACUAGCUCUACUGAUUGAACUCAACUGAGUAGUUUCCACCUAAAGACAGAGAUAGAAUUCAGUCUCUGAAACAGUGUAUGUUUAAAACAAAAACAAGAUGAUGGAUAAUGUCCGAAAACACAAUAAUUGUACUGAAUCUACAGUUUGAGUGACAGUGAAGGAAUUUCAGAAAUGCAGUUCACAAGCUACACUGAAGAAGAAGAAGAGAUGUGUUAAUAAGAAGAAAAUUGGUGAUUACUUCACAACAGGCAAUAUCAGGCAAAUAUUCUAUAGGAGACAUUCAAAAGAUUCAUGCUAUUAAAUUAGAAAUGUAAUUUAUAGAAUAAGUCUUCCUGAAUUAUAAUAUAAUAUUGCUGCUGAUUCUGCUUUUGGAUCUUUGCACCAUGCCUACAUUUUGGAGGUGCAUAUUGCCUGCAUGUGCAAUCUUGCUGGUAACAAUGCCCACUUCCAUAAGGUUCAAAAACCCAAGAGCAGAAUAAGCAGCAACAGUGAAUUGCUGUGAAACUUUAAAACCAGUAACAUAAUAUAACACAUAAUAUACAUUUUUGUAGGUUAAACAAUGACUGUGAAGAACAUUCUGGCAGACAUUAGAGCUGAGAAGCAGGAAACUGUAGAAUAUAGAAAAACUGUGAAUCCCCUUGUUAUUAAUUAGCCUUGAAGAGACCUCUGAGGGACAAAGUGAUUCAGAUGACUGACCAGUCCCACUAGAACAAACAUUUGGAAGAAACACUUGUGGAUAUAAGGACAUGACUGCUUCCAUCUACAUCAUCAUCAAGAAAGCACAGGAGAUUGCAGAGGUUAAUCUAAACAGAAUCUAGUUACUCUAGACAAAAGCUGGUGAAAGGAGGAGGAAGUGUCUUAUCAAAAAUAAUUCAAAAUUAUUCAUUAGACAGAUAUAAAACAUAACAGUAAUGGAUGGAAUAUAAAACACUGUUCAACUGAAAUCUACAUUCUCUAAUGUACAUGUCCUCUCUGUACACAGAGCCACCACAUAUGAUUUUGAAUUUUUCCUAAACAACUACUUUUAUAAACCUAAAGCAGACUUUGUCAUCUGUCAUGACAUUAUCUCAGUGAAAGUUACCAUAAACUGUCUCAACUAACUAUGAAGAUCUUUUAAUCUUACAUCAAUAGUUGAUUUCCCUACAGUCAUUCAAAAUUACUGCAUUAUAUACAUCCAGUGACAGAUUACCUGAUAAUGGUGGUAAACUUUCUAGUUAUAAAAUAUAUAUAUAUAUCUUACUUUGAAGUGAAGAUUUAUCAUAAUUGUGAGACACAAACUACACCUAUGAACAGCAGCACUGCUAAAGAAUUUAAAACACAUCUAAGUAAUGUAACCUGGGAACAAAUAUUAAUUAUUAAGUAUCCGUUAUGUAGGUUCAAAUUUCCUCAUCAAAAUGGAGAAUAUGGUAUUUUAAAAUAAUGAAUGGAUAGCUGCAAGACUCAGAACAUUGUGUAAACAUAAAUUACACAUGCAGCUGGCAGCCACUCUACUAACAACAAAACAAUGACAAUUCCCUGUUGGACUUACUGAAAAGAUUAACUGAAGUCAUUAAAGAGGUGAAAAGUAUGCACUACAAUAAACAGAUAUUAUAAACAUAAAACAAAUAAAAGCACUCUAUAAAACUGUGAAAAAAUAAAGAGGUAAGUACUAUUCAGAAGAAGGCAUGCUCAGUGAACAUAAAUGAUAGCUAAGCUAUCCCUGUAACAGGCUGUGAAGGCCUGUAGGGUUGUGAGAUGUUGAGGUUGCCACAUU